This 2689-nucleotide long non-coding RNA is filed under the name Xyrichtys novacula (pearly razorfish). The record is from RNAcentral. Lineage: Eukaryota; Metazoa; Chordata; Actinopteri; Labriformes; Labridae.
UUGGCAUCAAAAACACUCGAACCCGUCUUUGGUUUACGUUUCAAACUCGAGCACAAGAUCAGUACCUUUAACAGACACGUCAGCGUCCCCUCAUUCCAAUAUUCCUCCUGACAGCUACGUGACAUUUCUGCUCCAAACGCAGAGACGCCAUUAAAGCGCCGGCAGACUCCCCGCUCGAGCUUGCUUCACGUCUCAAUCGUUCCUGAUCUCAUUCUUUGUGUCUUAUUUAUGGACUGUCUAGUUACUUCCUUACUGAGGGGGCUGUGGGAGUUUCAUUACAGAUCCCUCUUUAAUUUCAGCGAUGAUCUGCAUGCUUCAUUGGACACCCAUAAGGAAAGCCGCAGCAGUGGUAGCGGAGAUGAGCUUUUCGAGAGAGUAAUAGUUUUAUUGCUUUUUUUUCCCCCUCCUGCCUGACAACAAUCUGCAACCAAUUUAGCCCGCGUUGACAAAGCGUUCACAACGCACACGCGGCGUACAGCAGCUCGUUGAACAUCUCUUUUCUCCAGGAAGGAGUCCCUCGUGGGCUUUCUGAGCGCGCACGCAAACUGGAGGGCACUUUAAUUAAAAUACUACUGGUUGCUGUCACAGUGGCCUGUAACAGUCGUUUAAGAGAGACGUUAGUUCAGUUAAUUAUUCUGUUAAUUGGACUCUGCUCUUGAUAGAGAACGUUCAGGUGUAGAAGCGGGCGGGUUCCUCUUUGUGUGUUUGCGCUCUAAUUGCCGCUGAGGUAAUUGAUGGGACAGUACGGCCAUUUAAGAGGCCACCACCUAAAGUCGUGCUCUGAAAGGUAAUGUGGUUAAACAGGAUACACUUUUCCACAGAUGGUCCGCAGUCUGUUCUCAGGUAAUUGGUCGAGACCCAGAAUUGAGGUUCUGAACCGUUGCCAGUGUGUCGUGGAUGUCCUUUGCUGCACCUUAAAGCUCCUGUAAGGAGUUUUUAGCUGGUUAUGAAUCAGAUUUGAGUCAACAGUCAGUCCGUUUACAUGACACUCGAGAAAACCGAAUUAUCACCUUACUCCGAUUAAGACCGGACAACUGAAGUCCAAACCCUAACUCUGAUUAAGACACCCAGAUAAUGAGAUUGGAAUUUGAUUUUCUCGAGCAUGUAACCGGCAUAGUCAGAAAUGGACAUUUUAAAGUUUACAGACGGUCGCAAAACAAGGAACGGAGACAUCUUUAAAAAUGGUCCGGAAACAGCGCCGCCGACCUAGUUUUGGGGAGGAGGACACGUUUACGUCAAUAAUUCGAUUUUCUCAGCUGCAUGUAAACGAGGACAAGAAGAGAAGUCUGACUCAGUGAAAAAAAACGAAUUAUGAGCUUAGUCUGAUGAAGCUGUGCAUGUAAACGCACCAAGGGACAACUUUCCAGGACCUUUAAAAGCAAAUGAACCAUCAGCGACAAGUCAGACUAUUUCUACUUUGUUUUCUUUGAAUGUCUUUGGACAGAAGAAGUGGACAAAACCUCAUCUGUGUUGAAUUUGUGUUGAAAAUGCACCUGUAGAGGUCCUCUGGUCUCUUUGUAAAGUUCCUGUGGUUGAUAUAAAAACACAGAGGGUCAUUUGCAAGUUCUGCCUUCUAAGAUGUUAUCAUGCAAACAUUUCCUUUUUAGCACCCAACUGAAACUGAACCGGACUGAAUCCAGCAUCUGUGGAGGCAUACAGCUGGUGUGGUUUCAACAGCCUCUAGAUCUGACUUUCUCAGACGACUCAGUGCUAAUACUUGCAGUGAAAUGUUGACUUAACACUUUUGUUUUGUCUCCUUGUAAAGGAGAGGCUGACACAGAGUGACUUCAGCCUCAUUUUGUAAGUUUUGUUUUUAGACCACAUAUCUCAGGGGAAUAGAGAUCAUUCACAGACAGACUCGGGUGCUGAAAGCCCAGUUUGAUUCACCAAACAGAACCCUGUCAGUCUCUCACUCCUGUAAAGUUUCUUUGAUUUUAGUCCAAACUUUGAGUCCUUUCGCUGACCCAAGGAAGAAUAAUAUUCAAGCUUUGAUUUAAAAUCUUGACAGGAAAAGUCGAAGCUCUCUUAUCUUACUGCGGAAAGAAAGAGUGAGAGGAGGAAAGUCUGUAAGAGUUUCCUUAACAUGGUGAUUAUUUAGGUGUCCAAGAUGCUCUAAUGAAGUUUGGAAAUAUUGGAAAUAUUAACAAGAGAAACUCGCCCUUCAUCUUUUCCUUUUAAGGGAGUAAAGUUAUUUUUCUGUCCUCUGAAAAAUGGAAAAGUGAAAGGGUAGAGCAAACAUACAGGUCACUACUUCUUUGCUUUCCAUUUGAGGUUGUUCGAGUGUCUUUAUAUCCCGAGCCAAUCAGAGAUUUAAGGAGAAAAACCCUAAAACUUGAGAACGUGUCCUUUAAUGGUCUGAGAACAUGGACCAAGUCUUCAUUGUAACUCUGAUGAAAUUCAUAUCAAACCGAGAUGUGCGGGUUCACCAUCGCCUCGUGGAUUUCUAAUCUUGUAAAGGGCAGCUGAAUUAAUUCUGCCUGACUCAUGAAAAAAGGGAGAGGAAAUGGAAAUGAUUAUUGUAGUCCUGGCCGGCUCCAAUCAGAACUCUGUUGGCGCUGCGGUAACAAGUGGAGCCUGCCCCACGGUACCUGGCCCACAUCAAAGCUGAGGGGGAGCACUCAGACAAGACGCUGUCAGCUUUUCACGAGGCACUGAAGAUUCACAGGCGUCAAUCUUUCUCCUCCUCUCC